UGCCAGACUCCUACGGGAGGCAGCAGUGAGGAAUAUUGGUCAAUGGGCGCGAGCCUGAACCAGCCAAGUCGCGUGAGGGAUGACGGUCCUACGGAUUGUAAACCUCUUUUGCCGGGGAGCAAGCGUGCGUUCGUGAACGCACGUCGAGAGUACCCGGAGAAAAAGCAUCGGCUAACUCCGUGCCAGCAGCCGCGGUAAUACGGAGGAUGCGAGCGUUAUCCGGAUUUAUUGGGUUUAAAGGGUGCGUAGGCGGGACGGUAAGUCAGCGGUAAAAAUGCGGAGCUCAACUCCGUCGAGCCGUUGAAACUGCCGUUCUUGAGUGAGCGAGAAGUAUGCGGAAUGCGUGGUGUAGCGGUGAAAUGCAUAGAUAUCACGCAGAACUCCGAUUGCGAAGGCAGCAUACCGGCGCUCAACUGACGCUGAAGCACGAAGGCGUGGGUAUCGAACAGGAUUAGAUACCCUGGUA
This 466-nucleotide ribosomal RNA is filed under the name uncultured bacterium. Its description in RNAcentral is "bacterial SSU rRNA". It matches the Rfam family "Bacterial small subunit ribosomal RNA", at positions 329 to 792 of the family's 1533-position model. The record is from RNAcentral.